Molecule: ribosomal RNA, 865 nt
Filed under: Latindia dohrniana
Lineage: Eukaryota; Metazoa; Arthropoda; Insecta; Blattodea; Corydiidae
Description: SSU rRNA
Rfam family: Eukaryotic small subunit ribosomal RNA
Source: RNAcentral
UUCUUCGCCUACCAUGGUCUUAACGGGUAACGGGGAAUCAGGGUUCGAUUCCGGAGAGGGAGCCUGAGAAACGGCUACCACAUCCAAGGAAGGCAGCAGGCGCGCAAAUUACCCACUCCCGGCACGGGGAGGUAGUGACGAAAAAUAACGAUACGGGACUCAUCCGAGGCCCCGUGAUUGGAAUGAGCACACUUUAGAUCCUUGGUCGAGGAUCGAUUGGAGGGCAAGUCUGGUGCCAGCAGCCGCGGUAAUUCCAGCUCCAAUAGCGUAUAUUAAAGUUGUUGCGGUUGAAAAGCUCGUAGUCGGACCUGUGUCUCACGCUGCCGGUUCACCGCUCGUCGGUGUCAAACUGGCACGCCUGUGCGACGUCCUGCCGGUGGCUCCGAGCCGCGGAGGCCUUCAAAAGCCGCUGCGGCGAGGGCCUACGUUUCAACCCGUCGCGGUGCUCUUGACCGAGUGUCUCGUCGGGCCGGCACGUUUACUUUGAACAAAUUAGAGUGCUCAAAGCAGGCAUCUACCGCCUGAAUAUCGGUGCAUGGAAUAAUGGAAUAGGACCUCGGUUCUAUUUUGUUGGUCUUCGGAACACCCGAGGUAAUGAUCAAUAGGGACAGACGGGGGCAUUCGUACUGCGACGUUAGAGGUGAAAUUCUUGGAUCGUCGCAAGACGGACGGAAGCGAAAGCAUUUGCCAAGAAUGUUUUCUCUGAUCAAGAACGAAAGUUAGAGGUUUGAAGGCGAUCAGAUACCGCCCUAAUUCUAACCAUAAACGAUGCCGUCGAGCAAUGCGCCGCAGUUCCUCCGAUGACUCGGCGGGCGGCUUCAGGGAAACCAAAGAUUUUGGGUUCCGGGGGAAGUAUGGUUGCAAA